ACUGCUGAUUGAAUACUUAUUCAAAUGAUAACAUUAGGUCUAACUUCAAUAAGCACACCUUUUAAAAAUAUUGAAGGUUUCUAACAAUUUUUUUGUAAAAUAUGAAAUUCUUCCCAACAAAUAGAAUUGUAAAUCACUGAUUUGCAGCUGAACGUUGAAGAUUUUUGUAUUAUUUGUCCACAAAAGUUUCAUCCUUAAGUGAUACAAAAACGGACUUCUUCCAAGCAUUGAUGAAAGUGUUCCCACAGCCUGAUGCAACCUCCACCAUGCCCUCUAAAAGCCUGCAGACAGUUUGUCAAAAAUGUAGCUUCUUUACAAUUGUUUAAUUCAUAAAAUACAUUUCUUAUUUUAUUAACAAGAAACGUAGUAAAUAUGUGUUGACAUAAAUGUGUUUUGAACUCUCAGAUGUUUGCAACCAAACAUGAAUGUUUGAAGCUGGAACGGAUGCAGGUUUGAUUUUUAUCAUUUACAGUAAAGCGUGAAGCUCUUGUGCUGUUUGUAUCUCAGAGGAACAAAAGCUGGACGUCCCUCAGGCCUGAAGCUCAGGUCAGCUGAUCGACUGAAGCUGCUGACGCGGCAGUUUCCAGCAGUCUGUGUGUGUGUGCAUGUGUGGGUACAUGCGUGUGCGUGUAGCAGCUCGGUCAUGUGAACAGCGAGCUCUCAAAUUGGAUUGAGCUAAUUUCCUAAUGGUGUAAGGAUUGUCUGGAUCCCAGAGGAACUCCAUGAUGUCCACAGAUUAGAGUUAAUGAUGAUCAGUAAACUGUCCUGAUGCCAUUCUUCUGAAACAAACAGAGCUGAAGGUAAACUCCCAGAAGCUGAAGCUGUCUGCAGCCUCACUUCCUGUUCUUCUUUCUUUUGUUCUCCAUCCUUCAUUCACGUCAUUAGACCUUAAAUGAUAAAUAAAACUGUUUUCUCAAUCAUCUGACAUCACCUCUCCGACCUCGUCCUCUCAUGUUCUCUACAGUUCCAUGUUUGUUCAGCUCAACUCUUCCUCGCUCCUCCACCUUCUUUUCCGCUCCGGAGGUUCUUUCUUACCGGAAUAUUCCCUCUGGCUGGCUCCAGAACCCAUCGAGCUGCCGUCAGCUGCUGCAGAACUCUGUCAUGUCCGCAGAUAUGAAGCUGACGUCCGUCUGCGUCUCCGUCCCAUCUCUGUCCCGCUGGCUGUCCGACUGAGGGACGGUAAUCCGGGGAAGUUGCUUAUGGCAACAGUACAGGAUCCUGGAACUUUGUUCCACCUUCCAACAGCGUGCAGACGCUUCUUCACCUCCUUCACUUUCUGCUGUUCUGAGCCUGAACUCCUCCUCCUCCUCCUCACUGCUCCUCAUCUGAUCUCCUCCUCCUCCUCCUCACUCCUCCUCUUCACUGCUCCUCAUCUGAUCUCCUCCUCCUCCUUUUCAGAGCAGAGCUCCACCCCUCCAGAUGUUCCUCCCUCCCCUCGCCGUCUUUGGAGCAAAUUAAUCAAAAUAAGUUCAACUAAAAUGAAUAGAAUAGAAUAUUUUGAAGGAAAAGGAUAAAAUAAACUUUAUUAGCUGUUUAUUCCAAAACUAUGAAGGAAUCAAGAAACAAAAACAGAAAACCUCAACUGGAUCAGGAUGAAUCUGGAAACAGGAAGUUAGAGAAGUGCAGACAUGGAGCUGGUUCUGGAGCAGAAGAACUUUCACAGAACAAAAACUCUUUUUCAUAACUACAGCUGCUGCUCAUUCAUCUCUCUCCGGGUCGGAUCGGGUCGGGUCGGGUCAGGUCAGGUCGGGUCGGGUCACAGCGAGUUGGCCCACUGCCGGAGAUACUCCAGGUCCUCUUCGAUGUCCUCCUCCUCCUCCAGCCUGGCUGUAAGGAACAAACCAGAGAAACACUGAGCAGACGAUGGCGGCGGUUGUUGGCUCCGCCCACAAGCUGCGAGGUUCUCACCGUGAUGGGAUGGAGACGCAGCCAGAACCUCCUCCUCCUCCAGACUCUGCUCCAGCUUCUCCAGCUCCGCCAGGAGGACGCUCUGCAGGAGAUAUCAUGAAGGUUCAGACAGCGAUGAUGAACAGAUCUAUGAAUAAUGCUUUCAGUUCAGGAACUUCAUGAUUUCUCUCUAAAACUGCUUGAUGUGUUCAUACUUCAUAUCCAUGUUUUAGUGCAUCAGCUUCUUUGUAAAAACAUAGUUUUCAUUAUAUUUCAUAAUAAAUCAGGACAAGUUGUACAAAAAACUCAAUUCUGAGGAACACAUUUAGACAGAAAUUGAGAUCAAUACAUUUUUCUAUGUUACACAAAAAUCAAACAUGUAGACAAAAUAUAAAGAAUAAAUCCACAAAACAAAGGAAAGUCAAAACAUCUAAACAGACGUUGAAGUUCCACUGAAGCAGAAUUCUCCAAGGAUUUGUUCAUCAGAAUCGUGUCUGAAACUGAAGAACCUCUCGAUCAUUUUAAUGAAAGUGAUAUUAAUCAAUCAAUCAAUCAAUAAUACCAUGAAAUGAACUAAUAUUUCUGUAAUGAGUCGGAAAUAUUUAUGUUUUUUAUGUAUUUUUUACAAUCUAUGCUUGAAAUAAACCAAUCAAUCAAUCAAUCAAUCAAUCGAUCAAUCAAUCAAUCAAUCAAUCAAUCAGUCAAUGGGGGUCGGCAUCAUUCCGUUUGUAAACAGCUGGUGAAUCCUGAGAGGUUCAAUAAUCCUUAAAUCUCCAUCAAACUGCUUCAGCUGAAGCUGUCAUGUCAGUCUUAGACACCAACUAUCCUCGUCUCUUCAGGGGUUCCUCUGAGCUCCGUUUAGGUACCUCUUCUACCUGCUUCUGCUUUCUUCCAUUAUAAGGAAGUAAAUGUGUUUUUCCUCGUUUAUGAACGACUGCUGAAUCUGAGUUUCAUUAAAAAAAUGUUUUGAGAUCAUCAAACCGUGAACUCCUCAAACCUCGUGGACAGAAGAGGUUUUCUUUACUUUCUGAUCCAUCAAACCCUCAAUAACAAAUGAAGGAGUCAGAACCAAAUUAUAUUCAGUCAUAAAGUUGAGUUUUUCUCUCCUUUGAGGCCACAAUAAACCCUGUUCUUUAUUGAAAGAGUAAUGAUGGAUGUUUUCAGUCUCUUAGUGUUUGCAUUUAAAGGACUGGAGAGAUGAUUCUCACUUCAGAAGAAUUUAAGAAUUCUCUGAUCAUCAAACCCCAUCGGCUCCAGAACGAUCCAUUUAGAAUCUACCUGUAAGCAUAAAGCAGACGUGAUUCAUGUUUUUCACCGCUUGUUCAACAGGAGAGCGUCCUUCAUCACCUCGUCAAACUCCUCCUCCUCCUCCUAGUUUACAGGUGAGUAGAGGCCGUCGGAUCCGUCAGGAGCGGCGUCCUCCGUCUGCAGGCUGUCCUUUAUCAGCUCAUUCAUUCUGUUGAUGAGUUCACUGUAAACAAAUGGUCAUGUCAACUCCACAGAGACAUGUUAAUGACAUGCUAAUGACAUGCUAAUGACAUGCUAGCGUUCUCUGAUCACCUCUGAUUAUGUGUGGUACCUCAUUUUUCAGUACAAAUGGUACAGUUGGACUAAGCAGAACUUAAUACCUUAAAGUCCUCCUCCAAUGAAAAUCCUGUGAUUAUAAAGACUUUCUGAGAUCCAUCAGGAUCUGUGAGACACUUUGUUCUGCAUUUAUAGAAGCUUUAGCUUCAGGAGAUCUCUGGCGUGAACAUUUUCCUCCUUACGUGUGUUCUUGAGCAGAUCUCAUGGCCUUGAAAGCCCCGCUGAAGCCUUCCAGGUGAUUCUGGGAGCUCCGCCUCCUUUUGAACACCUGCAGGACCGCUGGAUUCACCGCAUGGGACACAGAGAAGAUUUCUGAAUGCAGGGCAGGUUUAUUUGCAUUACAUUUACAUCCGUCUACCUAAAACUACCCUGAACUUGUGUUAACAGAACUGAUCCAGCCUGUUGACUUAGUAGUACAGUCGAAUUUGAUAGGAUAAAAACUAAAUAACAUUAACAAGUACAUUUAACUGUAAAACGCAGAAUUUAGAUUUAAAACAUUUAAGGCAAUAAUCCAAAAGUAUUUUUAAUACAUUUGAAAAAUAAAAAAAAAAAUCAUCUCAGAAAUCCUAAAAGGCUUUAGUUAAAAUUGAUUCGCUUGGCUUUUUAAACUAGGAUCCUAAAUGUUAUUUAAAAUAUUUUCUUUAACAGUUUGCAUUUUUAUAAUAUGUAAGUUGAUCUUUUAACAACCAUUUCUGGAUCAUAAAUGUCGUUAGUUAGCUAGCAGUUAACUAGUUAGCUAGCAGUUAAAUAACUAGCUAGCAGUUAGCUAGCUAGCAGUUAACUAGCUAGCAGUUAACUAGCUAGCUAGCUUUCCGUCGGGACGAUUUUUCAACAUUUUUGUCAGAAUUUCAAAAGUGAAUUUCUGUCUCACCUCUCCUGUUAAUCCUGCGCUCUUUCUUUGCCCACCAGAGUUCCGCUUUAAUCCUGUUUAGCGCCAGUUGCGUGUUUUUCACCCGCAGCGCGCGCGCCUGCUCGGAGGCCGCGCGCGCGCGCCUUUUCCCGCUUUUCCUCCUCUGGCAGCUCGACAUUCCCGCCGAACAUCCGCGGAAGCUCCGCCGUCACUGAGGCGUUCUUUAACGGAAGACACGGUUCUGUCCGUUACUCUUUACGUUUGUAAUAAAAUUUACAUCAAAGUUUGAGCCGAAAUUUGAUUUCUAUUUCGCUGAAAAGAAAAACGCUUUGAUGAUUUCUGAGCGGAAAUAAAAAUAUUUAAAAAAAAAGAAAAGAAAAGAAACUUUAAAAUCUGCAGAUAACUGCAAUGGUUGAAAUGUUCUGGAAUGCUUAAAACUGUUGAUGAUGAUGAUUAUUAGUGAUAGCAUCAUUAGCUCUGGCUCAUGCUUAUAGCGCGUGUUUCCGGUUAGUCCUCCACAAUAAAAGCAUAGACGUAGAAUAGAUUCUGUCUCUUUCAAAUAAAAGUUUCUUUGCAAAUGAAAAUAAAUGAGCUUCAAAUGACAUAUUGAUGAAUAUUCUCAUGAAUGUAGGUUGUUUUGGUGUUGAGUCGUGGUCUCUGCUCUUCACCACUCAUCCUCUUCAUCAGGCUGAUGAAGCCACACAGUUUUAACUUAUUUGUUCACAGAUUUGAUCCUUUUUGUGUCAUUUCAGCUAUGAAUGUUAUCUCUGCUCAGCAUAUGGAGGAAACAGAUGUUGACAUGUUGGCUCCUGGAGGACCUCCAGGUGACCUUUCUCAACACUUUACCUGAAGAAAACUUCAGAGCUGCAUCAGGAAGAUCAACCAUGAAAAGGUGAGACGCUCCACAUUCAUGUUCAGAGAAACCAAGAGAUCUGAUCAGAAAUCAAAAGAUGACUCAGCGAAAGGAAAAAGGUUUCUCUGCUCUCCUGAGUUUUCUACGUUCUCAGUCGUUCUCCUCAGAAAUAAAUCCGUUUAUUCCUUCAGUACAAACACAAUCCGUCACAGAUUAUUCAAUUCAGCAGAAAUCAAUUCACAAAUGUUAAGGAACAAAUAAGAAAUAUAAUGAUAUUAAUAUGUAUGUUUACUUUUGAGUGUGAGUGUCGACGGACGCUGAGGUCAGAGAACACAGAGAGGAUGAGGAAGAGGCCGUCCCACUCCUCCACCAGAAGCUCUGGUUUUCCUGGACUUCCAGCCAUCUUCACUCACUAACAUCCUCGACCAUUUCAAAUCAGGAACUAUGAAAAGUUGAGUGCAACGCCUACAGAGCCAACGACAGAGCAGUGUCACUUUACAGAUUAAAAAUGAAGACUCUGGAGAACACAGAUACAGAUUUAAACUUGUGAACUUUGUGAACUUUAAGCAGCUAGAUUUUUACUUUAUUUUAUGUUACUUUUAUAUUUUAUUGUGAAUAUCCUCUUAUCCUUGAACCGUCAGACAGUCGUGCAAUACAUUUCACUGCAUAUUAUAACAUGUAUGUUCAUGUAUGUGACAGAUAAAGUUUGAAUUUGAAUUAUUUGUUGGUAAUAUUAUACGGAUAAGAUUUUAUUCCCUUCAUGUUUUUCUCGAGUAAGUCCAUUAGUGUUAACAAAAGAGACCAAUAAACCUGUUUGUACAUUUCCUAUCAAUCAGGCCAAUUCCUCGAUAAUGAAAUCAUACUUUGAGUCAAAUUUGGAUUUUUAGAAUUUGUGUUUAUAGUUAAUGUUCUAAAUUGAUCUAAUAACCAGCUCAAAUUCAUUCUGACGUACAACAGUGAUGUAUUUGCUUAAAACAUUCACAUAUCUGUACUAUUCUCCUUUAUCAUUUUAGUAACAUAGAAUUAAUGUAAAUAUAAAGUUUUGUUUAAAAUGUAAGAGUUGUUCCCCAAGCUGUAACUGAGGAGAAAAUGUUUGUUAAAUUAAAGAAGUUGAUUAUGAAAAUGUUGACAGGAAACUUCCCAACAAAAUGGUAAGACUGUCAGACUUUGAUUUGACAAAAUAUUCCAUAAACUCUGAAUUCUGUUUGAAUUAGAAUUUUAUUGA
This 6399-nucleotide long non-coding RNA is filed under the name Oryzias javanicus (javanese ricefish). RNAcentral's name for it is "lncRNA (ENSOJAG00000010786.1)". The record is from RNAcentral. Lineage: Eukaryota; Metazoa; Chordata; Actinopteri; Beloniformes; Adrianichthyidae.